RNAcentral lists this long non-coding RNA (417 nucleotides) under Mus spicilegus (steppe mouse). RNAcentral's name for it is "lncRNA (ENSMSIG00000026245.1)". The record is from RNAcentral. Lineage: Eukaryota; Metazoa; Chordata; Mammalia; Rodentia; Muridae.
UGCCAUAGUCUUGUGGGCAUGGCCUGAGCUCACUCUGAUACAAUGUCUUUACUCUUCUAGGAGGAGCCUUAGGUGCAGCAGCGUGGGUGCUUAACAAACAGUGGGUCUUUCUCAGGACACAUGGUGCUGGUACCAACACUCUGACUGUCUUCUACUCUGUGGUCAAAGGAAUUACUGUCUAUUGUGUGCACACCAAAACCUUCACUUCUCUGUGCUGGUUUAUAGCAUUAUUUACAUGUCCAACCUGAUAUUCUACACCCAGCCCGCAUGCCUGUUCGCCACAAUACAUCUCUAACCUCUCCAGCAUGUUUUCCUUUCUUAAGAGUUAUUAAUCUUCACACCCCACUUUCCUGUAAAGGGUGAGUCUUUCUCUGAUUGGUAAGUCUAAACUUCAAAUAAAUUCCACCAAUAAAAUCA